UACGGAGGAUCCAAGCGUUAUCCGGAAUCAUUGGGUUUAAAGGGUCCGUAGGCGGUUUGGUAAGUCAGUGGUGAAAGCCCAUCGCUCAACGGUGGAACGGCCAUUGAUACUGCCAGACUUGAAUUAUUAGGAAGCAUCUAGAAUAUGUAGUGUAGCGGUGAAAUGCUUAGAGAUUACAUGGAAUACCAAUUGCGAAGGCAGGUUGCUACUAAUGGAUUGACGCUGAUGGACGAAAGCGUGGGUAGCGAACAGG
This 253-nucleotide ribosomal RNA is filed under the name uncultured bacterium. RNAcentral's name for it is "partial 16S ribosomal RNA". It matches the Rfam family "Bacterial small subunit ribosomal RNA", at positions 524 to 776 of the family's 1533-position model. The record is from RNAcentral.